GUCGAACGAUGAAGCCCUUCGGGGUGGAUUAGUGGCGAACGGGUGAGUAACACGUGGGCAAUCUGCCCUGCACUCUGGGACAAGCCCUGGAAACGGGGUCUAAUACCGGAUACGAGCCUCCUGGGCAUCUGGGAGGUUGGAAAGCUCCGGCGGUGCAGGAUGAGCCCGCGGCCUAUCAGCUUGUUGGUGAGGUAACGGCUCACCAAGGCGACGACGGGUAGCCGGCCUGAGAGGGCGACCGGCCACACUGGGACUGAGACACGGCCCAGACUCCUACGGGAGGCAGCAGUGGGGAAUAUUGCACAAUGGGCGCAAGCCUGAUGCAGCGACGCCGCGUGAGGGAUGACGGCCUUCGGGUUGUAAACCUCUUUCAGCAGGGAAGAAGCGAGAGUGACGGUACCUGCAGAAGAAGCGCCGGCUAACUACGUGCCAGCAGC
This 437-nucleotide ribosomal RNA is filed under the name Streptomyces sp. HVYN-7-5. RNAcentral's name for it is "bacterial SSU rRNA". It matches the Rfam family "Bacterial small subunit ribosomal RNA", at positions 61 to 515 of the family's 1533-position model. Lineage: Bacteria; Bacillati; Actinomycetota; Actinomycetes; Kitasatosporales; Streptomycetaceae. The record is from RNAcentral.